UACGUAGGGUGCAAGCGUUAAUCGGAAUUACUGGGCGUAAAGGGCGCGUAGGCGGCCAUGCGUGUCUUCCGUGAAAUCCCUCGGCUUAACUGAGGACGUGCGGAAGAAACUGCAAGGCUCGAGUCCGGGAGAGGGGGGUGGAAUUCCCAGUGUAGCGGUGAAAUGCGUAGAUAUUGGGAGGAACACCGGUGGCGAAGGCGGCCCCCUGGACCGGUACUGACGCUGAGGCGCGAAAGCGUGGGUAGCAAACGGG
This 253-nucleotide ribosomal RNA is filed under the name uncultured bacterium. Its description in RNAcentral is "partial 16S ribosomal RNA". It matches the Rfam family "Bacterial small subunit ribosomal RNA", at positions 524 to 776 of the family's 1533-position model. The record is from RNAcentral.